UUGGUACUCCCUUCGUUCGGAAUUACUUCUCACAGAAAUGGAUGUAUCUAGAUGUAUUUUAGUUUUAGAUACAUCCAUUUUCGAGACAAGUAAUUCCGAACAGAGGGAGUAUUUA
Non-coding RNA from Triticum urartu, 115 nucleotides. The record is from Rfam. Lineage: Eukaryota; Viridiplantae; Streptophyta; Magnoliopsida; Poales; Poaceae.